This 238-nucleotide unclassified non-coding RNA is filed under the name soil metagenome. Its description in RNAcentral is "partial internal transcribed spacer 1". The record is from RNAcentral.
GCACUUGUCGUGAGAGGUGCUUGUCUAUAACAAGCGGGUAUCUCUCCGUAAACACCUGUGAGCACUGAAAUGAUUUGUGGAUGGAAGAGUGGAGACGGCUUAGGCCUUUGGCCUGCGCUGGUUGAAGCUUUUUCCUUUUUUACUUUUUAAACCCCAACAACCUUUUUCUAACAAUUAAAAAGACUGAACUGUCUCUUGCCACAAACAAGAGACAACCUUGAUAUUCUAACCAAAGAAA